GGUAGUCCACGCCGUAAACGAUGAUAACUAGCUGUCCGGGGACUUGGUCCUUGGGUGGCGCAGCUAACGCAUUAAGUUAUCCGCCUGGGGAGUACGGCCGCAAGGUUAAAACUCAAAUGAAUUGACGGGGGCCUGCACAAGCGGUGGAGCAUGUGGUUUAAUUCGAAGCAACGCGCAGAACCUUACCAGCGUUUGACAUGGUAGGACGGCUCCGAGAGAUCGGUUUCUUCCCUUCGGGGACCUACACACAGGUGCUGCAUGGCUGUCGUCAGCUCGUGUCGCGAGAUGUUGGGUUAAGUCCCGCAACGAGCGCAACCCUCGCCUUUAGUUACCAUCAUUCAGUUGGGUACUCUAAAGGAACCGCCGGUGAUAAGCCGGAGGAAGGUGGGGAUGACGUCAAGUCCUCAUGGCCCUUACGCGCUGGGCUACACACGUGCUACAAUGGCAACUACAGUGGGCAGCAAUCCCGCGAGGGUGAGCUAAUCUCCAAAAGUUGUCUCAGUUCGGAUUGUUCUCUGCAACUCGAGAGCAUGAAGGCGGAAUCGCUAGUAAUCGCGGAUCAGCAUGCCGCGGUGAAUACGUUCCCAGGCCUUGUACACACCGCCCGUCACACCAUGGGAGUUGGAUUCACCCGAAGGCGUCGCGCUAACCGCAAGGAGGCAGGCGACCACGGUGGGUUUAGCGACUGGGGUGAAGUCGUAACAAGGUAACC
Molecule: ribosomal RNA, 712 nt
Filed under: uncultured bacterium
Lineage: Bacteria
Description: bacterial SSU rRNA
Rfam family: Bacterial small subunit ribosomal RNA
Source: RNAcentral